RNA transcript from Salvia miltiorrhiza (redroot sage), 1164 nucleotides. RefSeq lists it as uncharacterized. The transcript is spliced from 5 exons. Lineage: Eukaryota; Viridiplantae; Streptophyta; Magnoliopsida; Lamiales; Lamiaceae. The record is from RefSeq and is a predicted model, not a curated record.
AAGUCAAAAAAAUUACUAAUUUUUGUUAAAAAAAUUUAGCUACGGAAUAACCGUAGUUAAAUCCGUAGCUAAACUAAAAUUUAAUUCGUAGCUACGGACUCUGCCCGUAGCCGGAUAUUGUGACUUAUUAGCUACGGAAUGUCCGUAGCAAAAUCCGUACCUAAGACCAAAUUUGAAAUCUAAAGGUGCAGCCGCGGUUUUUCUUCUUCUCAUUUUCCCCUAAUUGCAAACCCUAGCGUUUCUCACUCUUCCGGCGCCGUUCAUCCCGUCGCCGCGGUUGCUCCGCCGUUUCUCUCAAAGUCGUCGGUAGGUGCCGCCACCGUGCUCGCUCACCGUCGCAGGCGCCGGAGAGAGCUUUUAUAAUCCCUACAUUGCUGGUGCUCUGGUGUUGCUGAAUAAAGAGGGAUUAAUUGAAGAAAGCGAAGGUCCUCGUGUCAUAUUCAUUGAAGGAAAAAACAUACCCCUUAUUGUUGUAAUAUAAUUAUGCAUCAACAGAUCUUGCUGCGCUGUGGGUACUGCUGUUGCUACUGCACCGUUUGCUGCUACUGCUGUUGAUUCUUCUCCUUCUCAAAGAGAGAGAGAAUGGUCCUGAAUUUCAAGGUGGAGGUACAAGAAAUUGCUGCAGAGAUGGGCCAAUCUAAUCCUGAUACGCCCGUGGAUAUGAACAAGAUUUAUCUAGAUGUCUUGGGAGGCGGUUUAGAUAAAAAACAAAGAUUGUUCGGCACAGGUAGUCUCGCAUUGACCUUGAAGACCAAUAUAUCGGGAGAGAGUAGUACUUCAGCAAUGUCCGACAUUGACAAAGAGCAGUAUGCCACUCGCCUAGGAGAUGUAGAGGAGCAGCUUCAAGAGGAGCGAGAAAGGACAUCUCGAUUAGAAGAACAGGUUAAAGUUGCAAUGGAGAUUAUCAAGCAGUUGCAAGGGCAAUCAAGCAGUGCCACUAGCCAUCCAGAUCCACCAUCACAUGUUCCAUGAUUAUACAUGUGUUUUGAUUUUGAUAUCGACUAUCUCUAGGUGCUUGAUUUUGAAAUACUUGUUAGAUAUGUGAUUUUUAAACUAUUUUGGUUUGUGACUACUAUUUCUAGGUGUUUGGUUUUGAAAUACUUGUUAGACACGUGAUUUCUAAACUAUCUUGGUUUAUGACUAUUUUGGUUUAUGACUUUGAUA